RNAcentral lists this ribosomal RNA (1505 nucleotides) under metagenome. RNAcentral's name for it is "bacterial SSU rRNA". It matches the Rfam family "Bacterial small subunit ribosomal RNA". The record is from RNAcentral.
AGAGUUUGAUCCUGGCUCAGGACGAACGCUGGCGGCGUGCCUAAUACAUGCAAGUAGAACGCUGAAGAGAGGAGCUUGCUCUUCUUGGAUGAGUUGCGAACGGGUGAGUAACGCGUAGGUAACCUGCCUUGUAGCGGGGGAUAACUAUUGGAAACGAUAGCUAAUACCGCAUAACAAUGGAUGACACAUGUCAUUUAUUUGAAAGGGGCAAUUGCUCCACUACAAGAUGGACCUGCGUUGUAUUAGCUAGUAGGUGAGGUAAUGGCUCACCUAGGCGACGAUACAUAGCCGACCUGAGAGGGUGAUCGGCCACACUGGGACUGAGACACGGCCCAGACUCCUACGGGAGGCAGCAGUAGGGAAUCUUCGGCAAUGGGGGCAACCCUGACCGAGCAACGCCGCGUGAGUGAAGAAGGUUUUCGGAUCGUAAAGCUCUGUUGUAAGUCAAGAACGGGUGUGAGAGUGGAAAGUUCACACUGUGACGGUAGCUUACCAGAAAGGGACGGCUAACUACGUGCCAGCAGCCGCGGUAAUACGUAGGUCCCGAGCGUUGUCCGGAUUUAUUGGGCGUAAAGCGAGCGCAGGCGGUUUGAUAAGUCUGAAGUUAAAGGCUGUGGCUCAACCAUAGUUCGCUUUGGAAACUGUCAAACUUGAGUGCAGAAGGGGAGAGUGAAUUCCAUGUGUAGCGGUGAAAUGCGUAGAUAUAUGGAGGAACACCGGUGGCGAAAGCGGCUCUCUGGUCUGUAACUGACGCUGAGGCUCGAAAGCGUGGGGAGCGAACAGGAUUAGAUACCCUGGUAGUCCACGCCGUAAACGAUGAGUGCUAGGUGUUGGAUCCUUUCCGGGAUUCAGUGCCGCAGCUAACGCAUUAAGCACUCCGCCUGGGGAGUACGACCGCAAGGUUGAAACUCAAAGGAAUUGACGGGGGCCCGCACAAGCGGUGGAGCAUGUGGUUUAAUUCGAAGCAACGCGAAGAACCUUACCAGGUCUUGACAUCCCGAUGCUAUUUCUAGAGAUAGAAAGUUACUUCGGUACAUCGGUGACAGGUGGUGCAUGGUUGUCGUCAGCUCGUGUCGUGAGAUGUUGGGUUAAGUCCCGUAACGAGCGCAACCCCUAUUGUUAGUUGCCAUCAUUCAGUUGGGCACUCUAGCGAGACUGCCGGUAAUAAACCGGAGGAAGGUGGGGAUGACGUCAAAUCAUCAUGCCCCUUAUGACCUGGGCUACACACGUGCUACAAUGGUUGGUACAACGAGUUGCGAGUCGGUGACGGCGAGCUAAUCUCUUAAAGCCAAUCUCAGUUCGGAUUGUAGGCUGCAACUCGCCUACAUGAAGUCGGAAUCGCUAGUAAUCGCGGAUCAGCACGCCGCGGUGAAUACGUUCCCGGGCCUUGUACACACCGCCCGUCACACCACGAGAGUUUGUAACACCCGAAGUCGGUGAGGUAACCUUUUGGAGCCAGCCGCCUAAGGUGGGACAGAUGAUUGGGGUGAAGUCGUAACAAGGUA